GUACCUGCCAGUGCAGGCAGUCCCUACUCCUCCCACCCCCACCUUUCCUGUCCUGGGCAGAAAGGCCGGCCGAGGCUUGCUCUGAAUGUGCACAUAAAACCCUAUGACCUGACCUGACCUGAUACCCUGUAGCCUAACUUGUAUAAUCUCAUGUCAUGUAUUUUCUAUAUUAUAUAGAAGAGAAAUAAGAUAAACAGGCUUUGUAAAUUCAGUCCAUUGCAUUUUUUUUUCCUGUUUUAUUUUCUGUCCAUGUGUACUGAAUACCAAAAGAAACGUAAAUCAGGUUUAUGGAUGUUUGAUAAUUACAUAGGUCUACUGGAUUACAAACUGUCAAUGUCAGCUAUCUGUAUAUACAAAAAUGUACAACAGGUGUUAUGGGCCAUUGGUGUUUAUACUGAAUAGACUGUGUGUCGGUCUGUCAAACUGUCAAUUCUGUGUUAUGAUAAACGGUAUAUCAAUCUGUAAUUCUCCUGAAUCUCUUUGUGUUAGUCUUGUCUUUAAAAAAACUAAAUUUAAAGCCGCUGACCUUAGUUUUAACUUGUAAAAAAUGGACACUGAGUUUAGUUAAUUUACAAACCCUGUAACUCAUUUGGAUAAAGUUACAAUAGAGUGAAAGAGGAGUCUGUGACAUUUAAACUGGGAAAUGUCCUUAAAAAUAAACUAGAACUCGAAUCAAUAACUGUUACUUCUCAGAUGCACAUGCAUUUUUUAAAAAUAUGAAAAAUGCAUUUUGUUUUGUAUUAUAAACACCAGGGUGACCAGAAACUCUUCUUUUCUAUGGAAAUAGAUAAUGUAAACAAUAAAAUGUAAGUAAUGUUUGAUUUCAGAGAUCAUAAACGGCUCUAACAGUGAGAAAUAUUCUUAUAGUGUUUAAAAACUAGGGUCUGUCCCUUUAAUGUCACAGCUGAAACUUACAUUCGCGUUUCUUUUGGCAUCCAGUAUAGUUUGAUGUGUUUGAUGCUUGGUGCUCUCACAGCAUUGUGUGGUAUAUCGGUUUUAAACUUGGUUUUUUAAUUACUGCAAAAGUAAUUACUUUGCAGUUAGUUGUGUGAAAGAUAUUUCCAAGUUUAAAUAUAAUGUACCACCUACACAUUUGGGUGUCAAUACUCACAGCCCAAAAUUUUCAAAUCUUGUUUGGAGACAAGUGAAUACUAACAGUUUGUCAAUCAGCUGAAGUAUUCGGGAUUGUUGUACAGGCCUGUAGGAACAAAAUCUGGAGAGGCGGAGGGAGGCACAACCUCAAGUAGAGGAGUGGGGGUGGGUGGAGCAAUAGAAAAACCCCAUACAUUUUCGACCUCAAGUGGGGGCAGUCUCCUCCCCCCCCCCCACCCCAGCCUCCCACAUACUUGUGACAGUUCAUUAGGGUAGAUUUUUAAAAGAUAAUUAAGUUUAAGCAAAUAUAUAUGUGUUUUCAGGAAUGCAACACAACCUUGCCUAAAAAAGGGCCGACCGUAUUUGUAUUUAUUUAUUUGUUUGAUGUAUUAUUUUAUUUAUUAUAGAUACAUAACAUUUGAUCUAGAACAGCGAUGAUGAAUGCAGUAAUAAUUAAGCAGAUAAACAAAAAAGACAAUCUACUGUGCCAUACCUAUUUUUUCUUUGUCACAUUCCCGAAAACACCCUUGUUUCAAGCAUCUCCUCCUUUACAAAUAUUGAGCAAUACGUUGUGGUUGAAGUUUAUUUUAAUGAACUAGCUACAUAACAUUUAUAUAUAUAUGUAAAAAAAAAAGGAGACAUUUUUAUGAAACUGUUGCUGAAACCUUGAAAAACACCCCUCCAUCACCCUAAUUUGUAAUAUAUCUCAUCAUACUCUUUCACCCCCGAGCCUUAAAACAGUUUGAAUGACGCCCUAACUAUAACCCAUUAUAUAUUAUUUAGGGUUGUGGUUAGAUUGGAUAUCAAUGUGUUCAGUAAUAUAAUGAAUUUACACGGCCAUACUUAGUAGUGGGGGUUAAAUUCCCCCCCCCCCCCCCCCCCCCCCCCCCCCCCGUCCAUAAAAAAAGUGCUGUUUUCAUUUAAAAUGUCCAUUAUGACUAGCUAGAUAAAAUUCUAAAUUACUAUAGGCAUAUCUCAAAUCUUAUGUUAAGUCCAUCCCUAUGACCCCACUCCCCCUAGUUAUUAUAGGCUAAGUACAACCCUGGAAUUAAAUUUAAAAAGACAGUCAAAUAAAUUAAAAUUUGUGAAAACCUCCCAUUGAUAAUGGCAACUUGUAACUAAGUAUGAAAUUUGUGUACAUAUGUUCACCAAAGAUUUUAAAUACAGUUUGUAUUUAGUUAAAAUGUUUCAUUCACUGGAUCAUCUGUUGUCAUCUAUUGUGCUAAUUUGUGAGUUUUGUUGGAAGCUGCAUCACUUCUUGUACUGUACUAUGAAAGGAAAUGUUUAUUUUUGGUUGUUUCUUUAAGUUAUUGUCUCCCUUUGUUUCAAUGAAUUGCCUGGUUUGAUAUUAAAGGUAAAUGCAACAUAA
RNAcentral lists this long non-coding RNA (2461 nucleotides) under Gigantopelta aegis. RNAcentral describes it as "uncharacterized LOC121386276". Lineage: Eukaryota; Metazoa; Mollusca; Gastropoda; Neomphalida; Peltospiridae. The record is from RNAcentral.